CUUCCUUCCUUCCUUCCUUCCUUCCUUCCUUCCUUCCUUCCUCUCUCUCUUUCUUUCUUUCUUUCUUUCCUUUUUUUUUUUUGAGACAGAGUCUCACUCUGUCAACCAGACUGGAGUGCAGUGGCGUGAUCUCGGCUCACUGCAACCUCCACCUCGUGGGUUCAAGUGAUUCUCCUGCCUCAGCUUCCCCAGUAGUUGGAGGCAAGACAGGGUUUCAGCAAGUUGGUCAGGCUGGUCUUGAAAGCCUGACCUUGUGAUCUGCCCACCUUGGGCCCCCAAAGUGCUGGGAUUACAGGCAUGAGCCACCGCGCCCAGCUCCUUUUUCACUUUCUAAGAUCAAGUGAAUCAAUUUCAGGCCCAUUUUAAAUUGCAGACUGACCAGCCUGUCUUUAGGUUUCUAUGUCACUGCCUCAUUCAGGUCCUUCUCCCGUCUCUCUGCCAGUUUUCUCUCUCCUUCCUGCUGGUGUUUCUUCUCCAUCUUGCCUCCAGCUAUAAGUACUCCCUGUGUUGUUUCCCUUGGUGUAUUUUCUCACUGUACACGCUACAUACUUUCAGACAAUUCAUCCACUCUGGCAGCUUAAGUUGCCCUUUCUAUGACAAUGUCUCUCAUGUUUAGAUCUGCUGUUGACAGAAUGCCCUCUGUGCUGCCACCCUCCUAUGCCAUCCUUACAUUAAAACAACCACUCAUUCACAAAGUGACCACAACCCUGAGAGGCAGUAAAGUAGGAGGCCUUUGCCACUGACUUGUUACUCGAAGUUCCGAAGGUCUCCAACAGCUUAGAACAGCGAUUUUCAAACUUAAGAUUUCACCAGAAUUUACCUAGAAGGGUUGUUGAAAGAUGAUUUGCUUGACUCUAUCCCCAGAGUUUUUUGAUUUGAUAAGUCUGUGGUGGGUCCAAGAAUUUGUAUUUCUAACAAGUUCCCAGGUGAUGCUGAUGCUGCUACUUCAGGGACAAUGCUUUGAGCAUCGCUAGCUUAGAAAAUGGUUUUUAGGAGAACCACCCAGCAACCCAGCCACAGCUCGCCUUCCCCAGCCACCAUGAACCACACUGGCCAAACCUUCACUCCCGCCAACACUGACCGUCCCCCCAACUAUGAGAUGCUGAAGGAGGAGCAUGAGGUGGCUGCAAUGUGGGCACCCCACAACCCUGCUCCCCAAUGUCCACCAUGAUCCACAUCCACAGCAAGACCUCCGUGCCCAUGUCGUCUGGUCCCUGUUCAACACCCUCUUCAUGAACUCUGCUGCCGGGGCUUCAUAGUGGUCACCUACUCCAUCAAGUCCAGGGACAGGAAGAUGGUUGGCGACCUGACCGGAGCGCAGGCCUACGCCUCCACUGCCAAGUGCCUGAACGUCUGGGCCCUGAAUUGGGGCAUCAUCAUGACCAUUCUGCUUAUCAUCAUCCCAACACUGAUUCCGCAAGCAUAUCAAUAGAUCCAGAGGAAUCAUCAAGGCCAGGGGCUCUGCCCAUGACCUGUUUUCCACGUACUCCCUCCCCCUUCCAUUCCCUGCCCUGCCCCCAAGCCGAGCCCUGUAUCACCCCUUUAUCCUACAAUGGCAUUCAAUAAAGUGCACAUGUUCCUGGAAGAGAAAAAUAAUAAAGAAAGAAAGAGAGAGAGAAAAAGAAAGAAAAGAUGGUUUUAAACAUAGCUGCACACCAGAAUCACUAGAAUAGCCUUUUGAAAAUUACUGUUCCUCAGGACACACUACUGCCCUAUUAAAUCAAAAUAUCUGAUAAUGGGAUCCCCAGUUAAUUCUAACAUGCAAUCAUAGUUAAGGUACAGAUGUUUAGAAGUAGAAGAAAGGAAAUCCCGCUGAGAAAAGCAAUAGCUUUGGUUAGGGGUUUGCCCCAUGGUUUCCUCAAAGGUCCAUUAAUUCCAUAAAAUGAUAAGCAAAAAGUUUGUGUGUAACCGGGGAGGAAGUGCAUAGCCUUCAACAUAGUCUCCAGAGGAUCUGUGACUGUAUCACCCAAAUUAAAAGUUGCUAAGGAAGCUGAUUCUCAGGGAGGCCUGGCCUGCUUACGCAAUUUCUUACAUCCCAUACACAUCACCAUCACCUGUGUUUCAAACUCCAUUCUGUUCGUGCAUUAAGGCUUCUGUGAGAAAUAGCUGCUUUACUUUGCAUAGCUUCAAGGCUUGAAACGUUUAUCCCUGCAGAUGCACUCAGGUUAAUAAGCAUUUGUUUCAAACUGCUUAUUAAGAAGAAGAAUCCAACAUCUAUCCAUCAUUGACAUGUUGACAAGAAUCACUUUAUCUAGAUUGGUUUUAUGUUACCAUAUGUUCUAAAGUAAUAGGUAUUUUGAAUGAACAGAGAAGGGGAGCAUGAAGAACACUGACAGUCUAGGUAGAGCCCCACGGAGAGGUUUCCGAAAAACAAAAACCAAAGAAAAACCAGGACAGUGGGAGCCUGAAGAUUGAGAAGGGCAUCCGACUCAAUGAGAUGUGUGUGAAGAAAAAUCAGUGUACACCAAGAGUAAUUUUUAAUUAUGGUGCCUGAGACUCAUUGUAUGCUGAAGAAACUAAUAGAAAAUCAUCUUCCUUCUUCUUUUCUUACCCCAUAUUCCUCAUAUACAGAUUCCUCAUAGUCAUUAACUAAGGACUAACAUGAUCUCUACUAGUGGGGUCAGUUUUGAGUAAUGUAAGGCAUGGGAGCCUUAGAACAUAGACAAUUGCAGUUGAUACGCAGUAUCAUAGAGCUCCAUUCCCAGCUCUGCCAUUCAAUGUCUAGGUGGCCCGGGCAACUGUUCACCUCUCUAAGUCCAAGUUUCCUAUCUGUAAAAUGGCAAUGAUAAUACCCACCUCAUGAGGUUAUCGUGAAAAAGGAAAUGAAAUAAUUUUAAUACUUAUUACAGUGCUUCAAACUACCUAGUGUUCCAUAAAUGGCUGUGUCACCAUGACUCAGCUAAAUUAUGAUCAAAUAGGCAUUUUUUGGACUGGCCUAAAAAUAUAACUGUGUAUCAGUUGCAAUUGCCUAUGUUCCAAGUGAUUGGCUUUGAGAUAGAUAAUCUUCACUAUGAAAACACUUAAAUACUCACUUUACAUUCUCAAUUUACUUUUUUUUUUUUUUUUUUGAGACGGAGUUUCACUCGUUACCCGGGCUGGAGUGCAAUGGCGCGAUCUUGGCUCACCGCAACCUCCGCCUCCUGGGUUCAGGCAAUUCUCCUGCCUCAGCCUCCUGAGUAGCUGGGAUUACAGGCACGCACCACCAUGCCCAGCUAAUUUUUUGUAUUUUUAGUAGAGACGGGGUUUCACCAUGUUGACCAGGAUGUUCUCGAUCUGUUGACCUCGUGAUCCACCUGCCUCGGCCUCCCAAGGUGCUGGGAUUACAGGCGUGAGCCACCGCGCCCGGCCUUUCAAUUUACUUUUUAAAGGAAUUGCUUGUUGUUCCAACUGCCAAUUCUUUUUCUUUAAGAUGCUCAGCUACCAUCUUAAUCUCACAGCUAACAGAAACUCCUCCCUGAAAUGAGAGUUUCUUAGGAACAAGGAUCGUGCCUUUAUCAAAUAACCAUUAAUUGAGCAUCUAUAUGUUGAUAAUUGGACAUAAAAAAGAUAUAUAUAAUUAGCUCCUUUCCUCAUGGGGCUUAACUUCUACCUGGGAAAAAUAAUAUGCAAAUGCAGUUCAAGAUUAUGUCUUAUAAUAAACUCUUGAGUAUAGUGAAAGAACAGAUUUAUUUUAUCUCAUGUGAUAAGGAAAUCUUCAUAAGAGAGGUGGCAUUAGAACUGAGCCAAAUGUAUAUCAAAGUCAAUAAUAAUUCCAUCACCUUGGAAGACAGAGAUGGAAGGAUCACUUGAAGCCAGAAGUUUGAGACCAGCCUGGGAAACACAGCAAGACCCCUGUCUCUACCAAAAUAAAUAAAUAAAAAUAAAAUUAGCCAGGCAUGGUGGUACAUCUUUGUAGUCCUUGCUAUUCAGGAGGCUGAGGCAGGGUGAUCACUUGACACAGGAGUCUGAGGUUACAGUGAGUUAUGAGCAUACCACGGCACUGCAGCCUGGGUGACAGAGCAAAACCUUGUAUCCAAUACUAAUAAUAAUAAUGUGUAAAAAACAUGUAGGAAUAGAGAGACCUGCAUGGGUGCCACUGCAGGACAAGAUUCCUAAGUGUAGUAUGGCGCAGUUGGACCUUGAAUACCUAGGAUGAAGACAGAAGAUGAAAUGUCAUGGCGUGCAUCUAGGCAUGUAUGUAAUAGUAAGAAAUAUUAUUAAUAAAUAGUAAUGUUAGAGAGGUUCUACCAUGAAACUGUAUUUUGCCAAGCCCUGGGAACUGAGCAGGGAAGUUUAGACUUCAUGAAAUAAGCAAAAAAAAAAAAAAUUGAAGAAGAAGAAAAAAGAUAGGAUUUCAAUAUGAAUUUGGAAAGAAAUUAUUUUUUGAAAAAAUAAAAAAAGAUAAAGAUUGAGGCUAAAUGUCGAGGCUAAAAGAUCGAGACUAAAGCAUCUUGAAUCAGUGUUACUAAUGCAGCUAUGACCUGUGGUAGGUCCAGAGGAGUAUGCGUUUAGAGAUUAACUAUAGAUAUAAAUAUGAUAUUUUAUAAAUGUCACCUGGGAUGUCUGAAGAAUAAUAUCACUGACAAAUAUAGCAAAGAUAAUGUGAAAGAUUAUGAAUCAUUUUUACGUGAACAAAAUUUAGUGUCAUCUUGAUGCCAAGUAUUUGAAAAUACAUAACGUUUCAUGUGUAUGUAUCGACAUAACCUGUACACCUUCAUUCAGCAUUUAUUUCCCACACUUAUAUCUUGUUUCCAAAAAUAAAUUACCUUCUUCUGCUGGGCAGAAUCUCACCCGUAUUUCUCAUUCAUUCUAUAGCGUCUACCAUGUAAAAAACCAUAAAGUUGGUUAUUAUUUGGUUAGAUAACUGAGGCCAGAAAUAGAAAAAAACUAACCCAUCUUAGAUGGAAUAGCUAGUGAAUAAAAAUUAUUUUUUCCUAAUAAUAUUGAUGGAGUGGGAAAAGUUUAACUGUGCCAAAUAAUUCUACACAAUAAAACUAUAGUUCAUUUUUUUUAAUUUUUAGAAAAUGGUUUUUAGGAGAACCAUUAAAAAAAAUAUGCAGUAGAACAAAUUUGAUGAACCUGAAACAUCAAGGGAAAUAGUGAAAAAUCAUGCUUCUCAACUACUCUGGUGUGUGUAGUUUUUUUCCACUUUAAAAAUGUGAUCUUAAAGUGGGGGUGGGGGAAUAAGACAGUAAAUCAGCCCAAUCUUUUAUAGCAGUAUCUUUACUUCCCUUAGAAAACAUGAUUUUAAUUGCACAGGGAUAGCAAAAGGAUAUUUGAAUCCCUCUCCCUGACAAGAUUCAAGGCUUUCAUUUACAGUAAAUUUACAUUUACAGUAAAUUUAGAUGUGGAGGUAGAAUUUAAAGCUCUUGUCCAUCAACAUGUAAUGAAUGAAUAUGGCACUGACAUAAUAGCAUUUUUUUGAGCACUGUUAGAGCAAGGGAGUCCUCCCAGUGCUAAAGAAAAAAGGAAGCUAAUAAAUUUAAGGGUGUUUCACUUUCAAUUAAAAUAAAAAAACACCUAGUCGAAAUAAGUUGAAACUCCGUGUUUAGAAUCUAUGUUGUUUCUCUAAUGUUCAGGAAUGGUUAAGGCAGGAAGGAGAAUCUCAAGGUCACCAGGAAUAGUCCUCAGAGUAUUCUUAUAGGGCUUAUCUGUGCCCACAUGCCUGAUUUUUUCCAAGUGUAAAGAAUGGCCACUUGCUUGAGACAGGCCCAGUGCCAUCCUUUAUUCAAGUUCCUUUAUACUCCUCUUUUUAAAGAAGCUGUCAAGUUCUUUUUUUGUAGCUGACAGGAAAGGCCAAAUCUCUGGUACAGGAAAGGAGGCCAAAAAAGAAACUUUUUUGUGUUGAUGUUUUACUAAGUGAGCUAAGGAGAAUUUUAGAAUCAUGCAGUUUACUAUGGAGGCAUUUACUGUACAUAGCUAUAGUGAUGGUAAUUUCUUUCAUUGUUGAAGUGAAAAGAUAACCAUCAAUCAGUUGUCAAUUGGUCAAUUGCAGAAGUGAUGAAAAGAAACUGGUAGGAACAAUCACUUCUGUGGCUACCUAGACCAGUUGGGGGCAUAAGAAAAGUAUGGGAACUGGAUUGCGUUUUAAAAAGGGAUUGGACCAGAUUUUCAAGAAGGUUAAUAGGCAUAACUUCCUUGUAAAGAAUGGCUUUGCAGUAUGCACAAUCAGGAAAUGCAUUUUUUAAAUGAAAAAUUUAAAAGACAAUGAAAAGUUUAAAAGUAAAAAUUAAUUAUUUAACUAGAGCAAGUAAAUAAGCCCAGAAAAUCUUGAAUUUCAGUGUGAUCUUAAUGGAGGAAUAAAUAUAGUUUACUAAUAACCCAACACAUGUAUUUAAAACAAAUUAAUGAAAAUUACUUUGUACUCAUGCCUUAGGUUCUAACCUCAGGCACUUUGAGAUAAAUGACUUUCCAAGUAUUUAUUAUGAGGAAUAGAACACCCAAGUUAAUUGUGAGCAUUGUCUUUAAGCAAAUAUUUACAGAUAAUUUAAUUUUUUCAGAACUAUGAAAGUUCAUAUAAAGGUUAAGAUAAGAACAAUUUAAAAAAUCAUUAACUUGCAUAAAAGGCAAAUAGCACUUUGGGACUUAGUGAUGUAAGCAAGAUUUCCUUUUAAUUUAUCCUAUUUUCCUAUGAAUGGCAAUGUUAUUGAUUUAUUCUGAGAGAGUUCCCCACACACAGUGAUUUUUUUUUUUUUUUUUUUUUACUGUGGUAGGUAAUAAAAAGGAUUACAGGCCCCCAGAAGGAUGAGAUAUCAUCAGUUUGUAAUCCAGCCCAUGGUUUCCUAGAUACCGUAUUGUCUAUUCUGUUCCGCUAUGUGAAAAAUGUUGAAUAUCAACAAUGGGUUUCAGUGCUGUAUUGUUGAGUUUUGUAUGAACUAAUCUAGCUUCCCUAAAAAAAAAAAAAAGAAAGAAAGAAAGAAAAGAAAAGAAAGAAAGAAGAAAAAAAGAAAAGAAAAAAAAGAACCACAGCUUUGGACAAAAGUCUAUAGCCAGUGCAUUUGAAACUCCCCUUGCACCAGGGCUGACUGUAGCUGGGGGAAGACAUUUUACUCAUUUGCUCUCUCCUUUAACACAGUCAGCUGGUCCCUCUUCUCAGGUGUAGAUCACCUAUUAUAAUUUUACCUAAUUCUGAUAAGGAAACUCCCAGGACUUACCAGCUGGGAUAGGCCUCACUUACAAGACAGCUCUGUUCAGUAUUUGGAAGAAAGCCUGGCAGGUUUCUUCGGAAAAGUGGCCAUCCAUGGAAUGAAUGAAAUGUUCUCUUUCUAUUCCAACUACCAAUAACAUUUUUGCUCGGCCUCAAGAGACCAUCAAAAAACAAUAGCUCGUAAUGCUUUCAGAACAGAAACUGAAGUUGUGUACUGUACAUGUGCCAUUCUACACAAGAAGAAGGCCGUGUUUAAAGCUGCUGUUGCCUCUUAGGAAAAAAACUGGAAUUCUGAGUCAAGUAUGUAUGCAUUUUCUGUUUUCCUGUCUUGUGGGUCUUUAUGGUGAAAAGCAUUUUUAUGAAAUUGCUGUCUGCUUCUUUAAGCUUCCUGUGGUCUUGUUUGCUUGUUCUCAGAUCUCAAACCCUGCCAUAGUUAGGAAACAUCUUGAGUUGCUAAAAGUAAAAGACAUUGUAUUUUGUUUGUGAGCUGAAGAGCAGGACAAGCAAUGUCUUCAGAAACAAAGGUCUUAUUUUAUAUAAAAAAGUUUCUUUUUAUUAUAAGCUACAGUGAGGAAUGAUUUCAGGACAAUGAGACACAAACUAUUGCUUGGAAGCUGUAAUGUUGUAGCUGCCUACAUAGCUGAAAUGGAGCAGACUGGUUUCCUUUUCUAGGCCUGUUUGGUCAGUUUAAACUGUCUUAAUGGCUAAUAAAACCCUGAAGAGUCAUCUCAGGAUUUCAGUUACCAGCCUACAGUGGACUGAUGAUCCAUUGAACAGCAGCAAAGCAAUAUUUAAUGUCACUUUAUGCACCACAAACACAGACUGAGACACUCUCAAACGGUGAAGAGCAUGGGCUUCCAGUCAGAUCCGCCUGGAUGUGAGCUCCGGUUGUAGCACUUGCUAACCGUGUGAUCUUGGGCAACGUAACUUCAUGAAGUCUACUUCUUCAUCUAUAUGAUGGGAAUGAGGCCAGAUUUCAUCCGAGUAAGAUACAUUUUUUUCACAUUUUAACAUCUCUGACAUUAGAAUGCAUGUUAGAACUGAUGGUGUGUCUUCAUCCAAUUGCCAACACUUUAUGUUUUCUUACUAGUGCAUAAUUGUGUAAUUACAACCUAUGACAUUAGAGAUUCAAUUAAAUAAUUGACAUAUACCUCAUCGAGUUGUUUUGAGAUAUAAAUAAAAUAAUGACGUAGAACCUUAUGGCCUGUAACACCUGCCCCAUAGAAGACUUCUAGUAAAGAAUGCCAAUUAAUGUUAUACACCGUGAUGUUUGCAAACUCUGGCAUUUUCCUGUCUUGUUAGUCAUAAUUGAUGUUUGCCAACACUAAAAGUUAAUUUAUUUGCAAAAUCUUCUUGUUGGAACAGUCUGCCUAUGGAGUAGCUCAUCAAAUUUCCUCUAAUUGUUCUGGCAGCGUGGCAUUGACCCUCCGGGUUUAAAUGUGAAGUAUGCUCGAAAUGAAGGUUUUGUGAAAGCCCGUAUUGACUUGUCAGAUGAGUUGUUUGCAGACAAAAAGCAGAGUAUGUAGUGAGCAUGCUCCAACAGUUCCUGGCCCAUAGGAAGCACUAUGGAUGUGGUGUCAAGAGGCAGCAGCCUGCAUGGUGGUUAAAGGAGUGGGCUCUCCAGCCAAAUGGGCUGCAUUCAAAUCCUGGCUUUUCCCCCUACAAGCCGUGUAACUUUGGACAGAUCACCACUCUGUGGCCUCCCUGUUCUCACGCAGUUGUGAGAACUGAAUAAGCUAAUAUACUGAAAGCAAUUGUACAUAAAAGAUGCUAUGUAAGUUUUCUGCUCUUAGAGGAAAUAUACCUUUCCUGUAUUUAAGUUCCUUUAAAAGGUCUGAGUUUUUUUUAUACUGAAAGGGAAUAUUCCAAUACAUUUUCUUUUUUUUUUGAGACAGUCUGUGUCACCCAGGCUGGAGUACAGUGGCACCAUCUCCGCUCACUGCAACCCCCACGUCCUGGGUUCAAGCGAUUCUCCUGCCUCAGCUUUCUGAGUAGCUGGGAUUACAAGCAUGAGUCACCAUGCCUGACUAAUUAUUGUAUUUUUAGCAGAAAUGAGGUUUCACCAUGUUCACCGGGCUGAUCUUGAACACCUGACCUCAAGUGAUCUGCAUGCCUCAGCCUCUCAAAGUGCUGGAAUUACAGGCAUGAGUCACUGUGCCCAGCCAAUCAGUGUACUUUUCAAGCAGGUGAUUAUUAAAAUUCUGACUGUGAGAGGCUUGUACUGCAUAAAACACAUAACCUAUAAACAUGCCUUUGAGAUAGUUGUGAUAAUGGGGCACAGCUGUUGAAACUGAUCUAUCUAGCAGUAAACAUAUGACUGAAAACAAAGUAUCAGGUAAGUCUGAGAUUGCUUCUCACAACCUCUGCGGUGUCUGUAUAAUAUUAUCUUGUAUGGCUUAAAAUCCAGUUGGUAUAGGUCAGCCCAUACUCCCAGAUUCCUAUGCCUAGGAUUUUCAGAAGGACCUCCUUCUAGUAUUUAUUCACUGGUAACCCAUAUUGUUCUUAUCUUUUAAGGUUGUAAACAUGAUUACUCUGCUGGAAUAACUAUGGCCAUCAAGCAUGGAUCUCCAAGCAUCAAAGCUGGUGCUUAGUUGGCUUUUAACUUAAAAGUUUUGUUUCAUUUUAACAGAGAAUUCCAAAAUGAAACAAAACUUAUCUAUAGUUAUUCAGUAUUUUUUGAGUGGUAAUUAUGUGUUCAUUCACCUGAACAAUUGCAAUUAGUAUUAUUUCUUUGUAACCGAGACACAUUUUUAACUUUUUUUCCUCUCUUUCUUUGUAUUUUAUUUACUCUCUAAUGUCAGUCAUCAAUGUCAAUAUCAAGAAACUGUAGGCUGAGCAUGAUGGCUCAUUCCUAUAAUUUGGGGAUGCCAAGGCAGGAGGAUUACUUGAGCCCAGGAGUUUAAAACUAGCCACUAGCCUUCACCACAUAGCAAGACGUCAUCUCUACAAAAAAGUAAAAAAUUAGCUGGGUGGGGUGGCAUGAGUCUGUAGUCCUAGCUAGUCAGGAGGCUGAGGCAGGAGGAUCGCUUGAGCCCAGGAGUUCAAGAUUACAGUGAGCCAUGUGUGCACCCCUGCAUUACAGCCUGGGUGGCAGAGUAAGGCCUCAACUCAAAAAGAAAGAAAGAAAGAAAAAUCCAUGUACCCCAGUGUGUUGAAAUGUUGAUGUCCAGACAACUGGACUCUAAAGUCCAGUUCUGUCACUCAGCUCACCCCCAAAUAUCCAAUGUGUCAUGACUGCUUAUGUUAUAAGGGCUGAGUGGCCCUCUGGCUCCACCAUGGACUGUGUGUUUUCCAAGACCACCUUCAUAGGAAAAGCAAGACCUAAAGGGACCCUUUUGGGGGCUACUCCUAGAAAUGGCUUAUAAGACAUCUGUGCCCUAAUUCCUUUGGCUAACAUCCAGUCACAAGGCCCAACCAAAUUACAAGAGAGGCUAGGAAAUAUCUUCCCUAGUGUCCAGGAAGAGAAAAUCAUGUGGCAAAUAGCGUUCUCUCCACCACAGCCACACAGCUGUGUAACUUGGGUUACUUAACCUCCCUGAGCCUCAGCUUUCUUACUUGCAGAGAAGAGAUAAUAAUACCUACCUUGCAGAGCUUCUCUGUGGAUUAAAUAAAAAAAUACUUUAUUAAAUUGUUAUAUAUUAUUACUAAUAAUUAUAGUUUCUCACUAAACACAUACACAUACGUAGGACCCACAUCAUUAGCACCUGAACCUCUGGUCCUCUCUAGUCUGACCCUCUGCUGAUCCUUUCAUUGCUAUCCAGCCUGUCUGGGGUGCAGAACUUAAGGCAGGCAAGACUCUUGCCCCUGAUUUGUGACUGUCACUAGCAUUGUAGUCCACGAGCUAGGAUGUGAGAAACCAAAGCCAAGAUAGGGUGCUGAAAAUGAACCCUAGGUCCUUCACAAGUCUUAGGGGAAGGGCUAUAAAUGCAUUAAAGUGUAGAAGACAGACAGGAGAAUGAUCAGUUGUGUAAAAUUAUUAAAAGAGACCAAGUUUUAAGAUAGCAGCUGAGCCAGACACUGUGGCUUACACCUGUAAUCACAGCACGUUGGGAGGCUGAGGCAGGUCAGGAGUUCGAGACCAGCCUGGCCAACAUGGUGAAACCCCAUCUCUAUUAAAAAUACAGAAAGGAGCCGAGCCUGUAAUCCCAGCUACUCAGGAGGCUGAGGCAGGAGAAUCACUUGAACCCGGAAAGCGGAGGUUGCAGUGAGCAAAAAAAAAAAAAGAUAGCAGCUGAAAGAAAGGGGAAAAAAUGGACACAUAUUGAUAUUUCAAAAUUGGCAGGCAUCAUCAUGCCAAGGCUUUCACACGAGUGACUUCCUUUAAUUAUCACAAAGAUCCUUAGGUAAGAAUCAUUAACCCCAGUUUCCAGCAGUGUUAAAGUAACAUGCCCAGGCUCACAUAGCUAAAAAGUGACAGAGUUAAGAUUGAGUCUUCAGAGUCCUGGUGUUCUCUGUUCCGUGACAGCACUUCACACCUCUUAGUCAUGCUGAAUUGUGCCAAGGACCAAUAGAUCUCAGGGAAUAUACAGGAAGUGUGUCUUGUUCAGGAGAAAGACAAAUAGACCCAUUAUCUUCAAGCAAUUCCCCUUCUCCUGCUUCCCACAUGACCAAAAGCGAAGCUCAGAAUCAGCCUAGGGUACAAUAUAUUUCAGUUAAUGGCUCCCAAACACACACAAAUAUACUCUUACCUGUUUGCUAAUGUUUGAAACUCAUUUCGCUGACAGAGGCUACGAGGGUGUGCGUGGCAUUCCAUCCACAUGUGUGUAAGACCAUCCAUCUCAUUUGGGGCGUGUAGACGAUGGAAUGAUUUCACUGAGUAAAGCAGGAAUUUGGAUGAAGAACUUUCAAGCCAGGGCCACAGCCUCCUGACUUCAGUCUGACAGCUGCCUUCCCCUGUGCAACCAAAAAUUGGUCCAGAUGUAGCCUUGAGUCCCCUGUAGCCAUGCAGGCUUAGAAUAUGGUGGGAACUGGUACCACAGAACAGUCCCAUGAGAUGAACUCUGAGUACCAUGCCAUAAAGUGCCCUCAGGGAAUCCAAGUAUAUCCAAACAAACCAAGGGAUUUGGAGCUUAGCAUGUUACAGGAACAGUAUUAAAACAAAACUACUUCUGCAGCAGGACUGACAUGAAUAUAAGAUCAGGUUUUUCCAAUCUGUCAAAAUAAAUUUGUUUGGAAUUGUGAGCAAUAUAAACCCCGUAAGUUCCAGGCUCUCACUCUAUUUCUUAGACAUGUUAGGAUUCUACCCAGUGAUUUGAGCAUGUAUGAGAAGUAGUUUAUGACCCAGCAUGCCUCUCUUACUGUCAGUGUAUUUGGGACUCCUUUGUCUGUUCUAUAAAGUGGUGUCUUCUCUACAUUAAUUUUCAUGAAGAAUACUUAGAACAGUGUUUUCACCAUGUGAAAGGCAAUGCAAUGGAGUGGUUAAUGGUUGAGGGUGUGGCUCUGCAGCCAGAGUAACUUUGUGUGAACCCAGGCUUUAUAAUGUACAAGCUGUCUAACUUUAGGCACGUUACUUCCGUGUGCCUCAGUUUCCUUAUCUGUCAAACAAGGAGGUUAAUAGUGCUGCCUCGUAAGCUUGUUUCAAAGAUUAAAUAAUCAAAUAUAUAUAUAUAGCACUUAGAAAAGUGACUGACAUGGUAAGGGCUCAUUCUCUAGUGAGGUCCUCAGGAAUAAGAGAAAGGGGUGAGAGGGAGGCAAGAGCCAAGAGCCACAGUGCUGAUACAGGCGGUUUGACGGAGGAGAACUAACUCGGAUUUGUCUCACUAGCUCAUGUUCCGACAGUUAAGAAACAGAGAUCAGUGCUUCUCAAACUUCAGUGUGCUUAUGUCACCUCGAGAGCUUUCUCAUACGUGAGUUUUCGUCCAUUAGGUCCAAGUGCAGCUAAAGGUUCUGCAGUUCUCAUAGGGUCCCGGGUGACGCUGAGGCCGCUGGUCUGAAGAUCACCCUUUGAGGAGCAAGAGUUUAGAGAACACCUGUUCCUAAGUGCCACAUGGUCUCUUUCUUUUCUUCUUCUUCUUUUUUUUUUUUUUUUUUUGAGACAGAGAUUCACUCUUGUUGCCCAGGCUGGAGUGCAAUGGCGCAACCUCAGCUCACUGCAACCUCCGCCUCCCAGGUUCAAGCGAUUUUCCUGCCACAGCCUCCUGAGUAGUUGGGAUUAUGGGCAUGUGUCACCAUGCCCAGUUAAUUUUUGCAUUUUUAGUAGAGAUGGGGUUUCUCCAUGUUGGCCAGGCUGGUCUCGAACUCCUGACCUCAGGUGAUCCACCCACGUUAGCCUCCCAAAGUGCUGGGAUUACAGGUGUGAGCCACUGCGCCCAGCCUACAUGGUCUCUUUCUUAAGGUUGCACUCUCUAGGGAUCUAUUUACAAAGCCCUUUUGUCAAUUUUGGUCAUGGGUCUUGGGUCAAGAAAACAUUUGAAAAUAGAUAUUGCUUUAAGGAAAAUGGCAUAGGGAUUCAAUAUUGGAUUACAUGAAAUAUUUUGAAUUCUUAAGCAUUUUCUCCAAAAUGUGAUUUUUCCAAAAGUUAUUUUUCCUUUCUGAUCAUUUACAAAGCAAAAGAUUGAGAUUUUUUUUUAAGGUAGGCAAAAUGUCUCUGUCUGCUUUCCAAAUAGGGGUGGGAUCAGCAAAAGCAAACAUCUUGUCACAUGAUGACCGUCCCUUCCCAAGCAACCAGUGCUUUAAUUCUAACCUCAUGUGCAUUUCAAGAGAAAUGUAAAGCAGAUGGUUGUGUUCUGCUGAUACAUAAAUCACAGAAAUUUCUCAUAAAUUUUGUUUUCGUUGUUAAAAAGCUUCAAACUGCCAGGCAGUGUUUUGCUUAAACCAAAGAUGGGCCUGAGCGGACAGCUAAUGGAUGGACAUUCGGGUUUGAAAAGCUUAAAUUUAGUCAAAUGACCAUUUUUGACCUUAUGAUGACUCAAAUUCAGACUACGUUAAUUUCUAAUCCUUUAGUCAACUUCCUCACUAUCUGCUAUAGAUACUACUUCAUAGAAAUUCAAGCUAUCCAAAGACUUGAACACUGUGCGUGUGUUUUAAAAUGUCUACAGGCAAAAUCAACAAGCAUCAUUCCUAUUCUGGAGCAGCAAGGAGACCUCCGUAUCCCACCAAGCUACCUGUGACUAAUUCUUACUAAUUCCACCAAGAUCAUAAAGCAGUGCCUUCCAGUAAGAGUUGGCAAACGUUUUCUGUGAAUAGCCAGAUAGUAAGCAUUAUGGAUUUUGUGACUCAUGCAGUAUACUAGUUUGCUAAGGCAGCUGUAGCAAAGUACCGCAAACUGGGUGCUUUAAACAGUAAAAAUGGGUCAUCUUACAGUUCUGGAGACCAGACAUCUGAGAACAAGGUAUUGGCAGGGUUGGUUCUUUCUGAGAGCUGCAAGAAUCUGUUCCAUGCCUCUCUUGUAACUUGUGGUGGUUUGCUGGCAAUCCUUGACAUUCCUCUUCACGUGAUAUUAUCCCCGGGUGGAUAUCUGUGUCCCAGUUCACCCUUUUUAGAAGGAUACCAGUCAUGUUGAAUUAGGGGCCCACCCUACUCCAUAUGACCUCAUUCUAACUUAACUAAUUACAUCUGCAAAGACCACAUGUCCAAAUAAAGUCACAUUCAAAGGUGCUGGGGGUUAGGACUUCAGCAUAUGAAUUAGGGUGGGGUUUGGGAAGGACACAAUGCAUCCCAUAACAGUAUCUGUCAAUAGCAUAUGGCAUUCAUCUCAGCUAAUCAACUUUGCUCUUGAAGUGCAAAAGCAUCCAUGGAAAAAUACUUACACAAAUGGCAUGGCUGUGCCACAAUAAAGCUGUACUUAUGUGUUUCUUAAUAGAUGGCAAGCCUGUAGGCAGUAGUGUAUGAACACUUGCCUCAGAGUAGCUCUGAUUCUUUCUGAAUAUGAAAAAGAAAAAGACACACAUGAGGAGAUUUGGCACUUGGCAUAGAAGAGGAGAAAAAAACUUUGCAAGUUUUCAAAAUGCCUAUUUUACAUUUGUAAUUUCAGUCAUAAUGUUUUAUGUUUAGCUUUAAUGUCUUAUCUCUACAUUUGAAUGCACUCUGGAUAUGUGUACACAGUUUCAAUUAAGCCAAAUGAUAUAAAUUUUAUAAUGGUGACUCUAGUAAGAAUGAUACACGUUGUCUUCAGACUGUUAGUUCUAGAAUGACAGCAGAAUCUUUUCCAUUUAACAUUAUACCUGUAUGCUUUGCUUUUUUUUGUAUGAAUAUGUCUGAAACAUGAACAACUGCUUAUGAUUUGUAAUUUCUUUUUUUUUUUUUUUUUUUUGAGACGGAGUUUCACUGUUGUUACCCAGACUGGAGUGCAAUGGCGCGAUCUCAGCUCAUUGCAACCUCCUCCUCCUGGGUUCAAGCAAUUCUCCUGCCUCAGCCUCCCGAGUAGCUGGGACUACAGGUGCGCACCACCAUGCCCAGCCAAUUUUUGUAUUUUUAGUAGAGACGGGGUUUCACCACGUUGACCAGGAUGGUCUCGAUCUCUUGACCUCGUGAUCCACCCGCCUUGGCCUCCCAAAGUGCUGGGAUUAUAGGCAUGAGCCACCGCGCCCGGCCCGAUUUGUAAUUUCUUUAGAAAUGUAUCUAUAUUUAUCCUCUGUGAAUACACGUGUAUAUUCUUUUCCCUUUAAUAUUUAAUGUUUCUAGAGUACCUACAGGUAAUAUGUUAGGCUAUAUACAAUGAAUCCUGCACAAGACACAUUUUUCCAGACACAUACCCUCCUGGAAGGUGGGUAUACACACAAAGAAAAUAGAUAACAUACAACAUAUAUUCAAGCAUCAUGCAAAGAUUUACAGAUACCACUACCAUGAGAGGACCAUUGCUUUGUUCUGCUUGAGUCCAAAUAAAUGCAUAUAUGAAAAUCUCACGUCUUUAUACUGCAUAGUCACUUGGAACUUAAUGGAACCAAAUUAGAAAGUUCUGUGUAGGGUCAGAGAUGUACGAGCACUUUAAAAGGCUAUCAUGGAAAACUUGAAGGUUGACUAUGUAGUAAGGAAAAGAUUUAAUCGGGCACGUACUGUAUGUUUUGCAAUAGUAACGAAGGUCAUGCUACCAUUUAUAUUAAAACUUAGAUCCAGCUUAUUUUAUAUUAAAAUACCAGGCCUGGCAGGGCAUGGUGGCUCAUGCCUGUAAUCUCAGCACUUUGGAAAGCUGAUCUGGGUGGAUCACCUGAGGUCAGGGGUUCGAGACCAGCUUGACCAACACAGGGAAACCCCCAUCUCUACUAAAAACAGAAAAUUAGAUUACAGGCAUGGUGGCACAUGCCUGUAAUCUCAGCUACUCGGGAGGCUGAGGCAGAAGAAUCGCUUGAACACAGGAGGCGGAGGUCGUGGUGAACCGAGAUCGCCAUUGCCUUCCAGCCUGGGCAACAAGAGUGACACUCUGGAACUCUUCCUCUACAUGGGUGUAAAGGCAGCUAGAGUCAGAGGUCAGCAUCUGCUUGAACUUUUAAGGUAACAUACGUGCCAAUAGUGACAGGUCUUACUGAGGAUGAAACUCACAGGCUUCAGUAUUGGAUACUGGGGUCUCAUUCAGCUUCAGCAAAGAUGCCCCCUCAAAGUCACUUACCUAGAGUGCGCCAAGAUCGGCCUUGUAUUUAGAAGGUGAAAGAAAAUGCCUGCUAGAUUAUACAAAUUACAAAAUAGGUCAAAUUGGGAGAUUAAAUGAGUACCUCCUAAGCUUUCAAUCAGGUUUUUACCUUAAAGGCUUUCGGUUCAGAGAUUUUUAGAGCAAGUACCAACUGUGCUAACAUAUCUGAAAUGCUGUACAACUGAAAAUGUCAAAUGUGUAUGGCUUUAAUAAUCGUAACCAUUUUAGGUCCAAAGAAUACUUCUGAAAUCAUCAUUAAUAGAGUAUUCUCUUUGGAAUUAGAGAAACACUAUCACAUUUCCUGACUAAAGACCCAUGACUUUCAAUAACACAAGCCAACAUCUGCCUUUACACAUACAGUUGAUUCCAUAACCACAUGUGGGCUGACUUCAUAUUGCCCAAAAUGAGAUUUUUUUAUUGCAUCUUAGGUUUUGGGGUACAUGUGAAGAACAUGCAAGAUUGUUGCAUAGGUACACACAUGGCAGUGCGAUGUGCUGCCUUCCUCCCCGUCACCUGUAUCUGGCAUUUCUUCCCAUCAAAAUGAGAUUUGAACAUUGGUGAUGAAACUAGAGUUUUUCUUACAAAUAAAAAAAUAAAGCAUCCCUACAUUAUUUUUAACCUAGAAACUCUGUGAAUCUCUCGGAUUCUCUGGUUUGUAGUUUAGAAGCCAUUGUCCUAUCCUAAGAAUCUUCUGCACAUUUGUUUGGAGAUGGGGCAAUUUCUCUCAUUUCUUUGUACGUUUACUUAAAUAAAGGGAAGGGGCUUCCAUCCUCCCAUAAAACUAAAAAAGAAAAUGAAACUAAAUGGCUUUUGUUCUUCUCAACACUUUGCAAACUUUGACUAGGAAAUGAAGCACUACAGUGUGUCAGUGAAGAAUAAUGAUAAUAUUAAUAAUGAUGGUGAUGAUGAUGGUAAUGAUGAAUUAGACAGUGUAAUUCUCUUCUUAUUCUAAGUCUGAAAACUGAAGCAAAAUGAUGAAGUGCCUUUCCCAAGAUCAGCAGCUCCACAAUGAGAACUUGGGUUUGUCCUCCCUCACACAUCUUCUUCAGGGAGAACAAAUAUCACUAAUGUUCAUCCGCACCAGGAGAAAACCAUACUGGCCCAUUCAAUGGCCAAUUAGAAUAAAUUGUAUAUUAAGAAAAAUAUGAUAGGUGAUAGAAAAAUCAAAAGCUCUCUAAAGAAAAGGAACAAAAAACCUGAAUAAAUAAGCUUAACGGUCCAUUGUUUGUGGGAAAAAUGAUGAAAUUAUCAUCAAAAUAUCCUAUGAAUUGAGAAUGAAGAUACAUUUUUUAUGUAGAAAGAUUUUUACAAAAAAAAAAAUUCUACCCAGAAAAGUAAGACUCU
Molecule: non-coding RNA, 18035 nt
Organism: Callithrix jacchus (white-tufted-ear marmoset)
Lineage: Eukaryota; Metazoa; Chordata; Mammalia; Primates; Cebidae
Source: RefSeq, a predicted model, not a curated record